RNAcentral lists this unclassified non-coding RNA (244 nucleotides) under uncultured Ascomycota. Its description in RNAcentral is "sequence contains 5.8S rRNA gene". The stretch from base 1 to 53 matches the Rfam family "5.8S ribosomal RNA", at positions 102 to 154 of the family's 154-position model. Lineage: Eukaryota; Fungi; Ascomycota. The record is from RNAcentral.
GAACGCACAUUGCGCCCUCUGGUAUUCCGGGGGGCAUGCCUGUUCGAGCGUCAUUACAACCCUCAAGCUCUGCUUGGUAUUAGGCUUCACCCCCAAGGGCGGGCUUCAAAAUCAGUGGCGGUGCCAUUUGGCUUCAAGCGUAGUAAUUUUCUCGCUUUGGAGGACCGAGUGUGUGCCUGCCAGCAACCCCAAUAUUUUUUAAAGGUUGACCUCGGAUCAGGUAGGGAUACCCGCUGAACUUAAG